AAGGUUUCCGUAGGUGAACCUGCGGAAGGAUCAUUCAUAAUAAGUGUUCUACUGCACUUUUUAAAAAUAGUACUCACCUUGUGUGCAAUGUUGUGUGAACUUCUACUUGUAGAAGUCCACACCUACACCAACCUAUAACCUUGAACCACUUUGUCUGAAAAACUAUUAUGAAUACUUAAUUCAAAAUACAACUUUCAACAACGGAUCUCUUGGCUCUCGCAUCGAUGAAGAACGCAGCGAAAUGCGAUACGUAAUGUGAAUUGCAGAAUUCAGUGAAUCAUCGAAUCUUUGAACGCACAUUGCACUCUCUGGUAUUCCGGAGAGUAUGCUUGUUUGAGUAUCAGUAAACACCUCAAAUCUCAACAUUCGUGUUGAGAAUUGGACUUGAGCAAUCCCAACUCUUUGCAAAAGGAGGCGGGUUGCUUGAAAUGCAGGUGCAGCUGGACAUUCUUCUGAGCUAAAAGCAUAUUUAUUUAGUCCCGUCAAACGGAUUAUUACUUUUGCUCUAGCUAACAUAAAGGUUGAAUGUUCUCUAUGCUGACUGAUGCAGGAUUACCAAGAUUUAUUCGUAAAACUUGUAAACUCGAUCUCAAAUCAAGUAAGACUACCCGCUGAACUUAAGC
RNAcentral lists this ribosomal RNA (623 nucleotides) under Entomortierella jenkinii. RNAcentral's name for it is "eukaryotic LSU rRNA". The stretch from base 190 to 343 matches the Rfam family "5.8S ribosomal RNA". Lineage: Eukaryota; Fungi; Mortierellomycota; Mortierellomycetes; Mortierellales; Mortierellaceae. The record is from RNAcentral.